This 455-nucleotide ribosomal RNA is filed under the name uncultured bacterium. RNAcentral describes it as "bacterial SSU rRNA". It matches the Rfam family "Bacterial small subunit ribosomal RNA", at positions 346 to 793 of the family's 1533-position model. The record is from RNAcentral.
AGGCAGCAGUGGGGAAUUUUGGACAAUGGGCGCAAGCCUGAUCCAGCAAUGCCGCGUGCAGGAAGAAGGCCUUCGGGUUGUAAACUGCUUUUGUACGGAACGAAACGGUCCUGGUUAAUACCUGGGGCUAAUGACGGUACCGUAAGAAUAAGCACCGGCUAACUACGUGCCAGCAGCCGCGGUAAUACGUAGGGUGCGAGCGUUAAUCGGAAUUACUGGGCGUAAAGCGUGCGCAGGCGGUGCUGUAAGACAGGCGUGAAAUCCCCGGGCUCAACCUGGGAAUUGCGCUUGUGACUGCAGUGCUGGAGUACGGCAGAGGGGGAUGGAAUUCCGCGUGUAGCAGUGAAAUGCGUAGAUAUGCGGAGGAACACCGAUGGCGAAGGCAGUCCCCUGGGCCUGUACUGACGCUCAUGCACGAAAGCGUGGGGAGCAAACAGGAUUAGAUACCCCGGUAG